RNAcentral lists this ribosomal RNA (882 nucleotides) under uncultured bacterium. RNAcentral describes it as "bacterial SSU rRNA". It matches the Rfam family "Bacterial small subunit ribosomal RNA", at positions 8 to 921 of the family's 1533-position model. The record is from RNAcentral.
AGAGUUUGAUCCUGGCUCAGGACGAACGCUGGCGGCGUGCUUAACACAUGCAAGUCGAAGGAAAGGCCCCUUCGGGGGUACUCGAGUGGCGAACGGGUGAGUAACACGUGGGUGAUCUCCCUGCACUUCGGGAUAAGCCUGGGAAACUGGGUCUAAUACCGGAUAGGACCCCUCUUUGUGUGGGGGGUGGAAAGUUUUUUCGGUGUGGGAUGAGCCCGCGGCCUAUCAGCUUGUUGUGGGGUAAUGGCCUACCAAGGCGUCGACGGGUAGCCGGCCUGAGAGGGUGGACGGCCACUUGGGACUGAGAUACGGCCCAGACUCCUACGGGAGGCAGCAGUGGGGAAUAUUGCACAAGGGCGGAAGCCUGAUGCAGCGACGCCGCGUGGGGGAUGACGGCCUUCGGGUUGUAAACCCUUUCGCUAGGGACGAAGCUUUUGUGACGGUACCUAGAUAAGAAGCACCGGCUAACUACUGCCAGCAGCCGCGGUAAUACGUAGGGUGCGAGCGUUGUCCGGAAUUACUGGGCGUAAAAGCUCGUAGGUGGUUUGUCGCGUCGUCUGUGAAAUUCCGGGGCUUAACUUCGGGCGUGCGGCGAUACGGGCAAUACUUGAGUGCUGUAGGGGAGACUGGAAUUCCUGGUGUAGCGGUGAAUGCGCAGAUAUCAGGAGGAACACCGAUGGCGAAGGCAGGUCUCUGGGCAGUAACUGAGCUGAGGAGCGAAAGCAUGGGUAGCGAACAGGAUUAGAUACCCUGGUAGUCCAUGCCGUAACGGUGGGCGCUAGGUGUAGGGGUCUUCCACGACUUCUGUGCCGUAGCUAACGCAUUAGCGCCCCGCCUGGGGAGUACGGCCGCAGGCUAAACUCAAAGGAAUUGACGGGGGCC